RNAcentral lists this ribosomal RNA (253 nucleotides) under uncultured bacterium. Its description in RNAcentral is "partial 16S ribosomal RNA". It matches the Rfam family "Bacterial small subunit ribosomal RNA", at positions 524 to 776 of the family's 1533-position model. The record is from RNAcentral.
UACGGAGGGUGCAAGCGUUAUCCGGAUUUACUGGGUUUAAAGGGUGUGUAGGCGGACUUUUAAGUCAGGGGUGAAAUCCUGAGGCUCAACCUCGGAACUGCCUUUGAUACUAUUGGUCUUGAAUCUUGUUGAGGUGGGCGGAACGGGUCAUGUAGCGGUGAAAUGCAUAGAUAUGACCCGGAACACCGAUUGCGAAGGCAGCCCGCUAAGCAAGCAUUGACGCUGAGGCACGAAAGCGUGGGGAUCAAACAGG